Molecule: ribosomal RNA, 497 nt
Filed under: uncultured bacterium
Lineage: Bacteria
Description: partial 16S ribosomal RNA
Rfam family: Bacterial small subunit ribosomal RNA
Source: RNAcentral
GAUGAACGCUGGCGGCGUGCCUAAUACAUGCAAGUCGAGCGAACGGACGAGAAGCUUGCUUCUCUGAUGUUAGCGGCGGACGGGUGAGCAACACGUGGAUAACCUACCUAUAAGACUGGGAUAACUUCGGGAAACCGGAGCUAAUACCGGAUAAUAUUUUGAACCGCAUGGUUCAAAAGUGAAAGACGGUCUUGCUGUCACUUAUAGAUGGAUCCGCGCUGCAUUAGCUAGUUGGUAAGGUAACGGCUUACCAAGGCAACGAUGCAUAGCCGACCUGAGAGGGUGAUCGACCACACUGGAACUGAGACACGGUCCAGACUCCUACGGGAGGCAGCAGUAGGGAAUCUUCCGCAAUGGGCGAAAGCCUGACGGAGCAACGCCGCGUGAGUGAUGAAGGUCUUCGGAUCGUAAAACUCUGUUAUUAGGGAAGAACAUAUGUGUAAGUAACUGUGCACAUCUUGACGGUACCUAAUCAGAAAGCCACGGCUAACUACGUG